This is a long non-coding RNA of Hydractinia symbiolongicarpus, 3165 nucleotides long. RefSeq lists it as uncharacterized. The transcript is spliced from 3 exons. The record is from RefSeq and is a predicted model, not a curated record. NCBI's taxonomy places the organism in Eukaryota, Metazoa, Cnidaria, Hydrozoa, Anthoathecata, Hydractiniidae.
GGGCAGUAUAAAGGUAAAACAUACGUAUAUAGUGUUCAGUGACAUCCGCUUUAAUUCAACAUAUUGUCAUAGGUUUAGAAGUGUAUAAGUUUUAGUAGUGAGUUGUGAGUAAAACAUAUAGAGAGAGACAGAGCAAGGAAAUAAAAAAGUUUAAGAAAACCGAAAGCUAGUAGCUAGGCGCCAAAAAGAAAUGGAGAUUAAACAAAACAAAGUAGAUACAGUUUUUGCGACAUUUGGAACAAAACUUGAGGUCAGAAGAGGAUUCUUGAUCAAUUAAAAGAAAGAAGUGAAAUCAUGGUUAAAAGUGUUAAAAAUAUAUUUAACAAGGUGAUAGAAGUAAAUAUACAGAAUAUAUAUCUGUAGAAUAUAUAUGUAUUUUAAUUAAAUAGAAAAGAAGACAGAGAAAGCAUAAACAGCAGGAGAGCAAUAUAUCUAAUAAACAUUAUAAAUAAGAUAUUUGAGAAAGAAAUAGCGAAAUGACGUAGCGUUUAGGAAUGGGCAUUGUAUGCAAUUAUUAUGAAGAUUAUGAAGGAUAGAACUAAGAGAAAAGGAACGUACGUUGUGUUUGGCGAUGCAAAGAAAUGCUUAAUUAACUUGUGACGUGCUUUAUUAACUUGUGACACAAUGGAAUAAGAGGGGUGAUUAAAGAUUGAAUAAAUGUAAUAAAUAGUAUGUUGUUUAUGCAGAUAAAUUAGAAAGCUAAAUAGUAAAUACAUUGAUAGUGAUAAAAUAUAGUGGAAAACAUUGUGAUAUAUAGACUGACACAACCAACAGGAUAUGCAACAGAAUAUGGUAUGUCAUGUCAAGGAGGUUUGGGUAUAUUCACGUAAUUUGCGAGAAGGAAACCAGGUAUAUUAUUGAAGGCUUGUUACUAGUCAAUGCAAUAAAGGAUUGAAGACAGGAGAUUUAUGCUGUUGCAGCAAGUAGUAACAUCAGAUGAAAAGAGAUUGGUACAACAAAUAAUGGAGGAGAACUUGGAUGACGAACAGGGAACAUGGAUAAUGAAAGUAAUUUGAUAAAAUGGUGAAGUAUGGUAUUAACAUGAAAAUAUAGAAAAGGAAAUAAAGAAACAACAAUGGAAAAAUUCAGAAGAAAAAAAAAAUUAAUAAUGUGAUAUCCAGUGCGAAAUAAAGAGAUCAGGCAACUGUAAUGUGAUUAAGUUUCACCGCAUUGUUUAUUGAUUACAAUAAUUCUUAUGGACAAUUGCUGCAUUUAAUUUGAAAUGGGGUGUUAAAGACAUUAUGGACGAACUGCAUAAGUUUACAUCAGAAUUGGUAUGCAUUGUUAAGAAAAAACUGUGAUUGGUUAACAAAUUCUUUUCAUGUGAUAGUUAUUGCAUUUUAAUACAACUAAAGACUUAACUGUUUGUAAUUUAUUGUGGUAUGCAGUGUAACGAAAAAACUGUGUGAUUGGUUAACACAUUCUUUUCAUGUGAUAGUUAUUGCAUUUUAAUACAACUAAAGAUCUAACUGUUUGUAAUUUAUCGUGGUAUGCAGUGUAACGAAAAAACUGUGUGAUUGGUUAACACAUUCUUUUCAUGUGAUAGUUAUUGCGUUUUAAUACAACUAAAGACCUAACUGUUUGUAAUUUAUUGUGGUAUGCAGUGAUAUGAAAAAAUGUAUAAGUCUUUCAAGAUUGGUUUGCAAUAUUUCCUUUCGUGUAAAUGCUGCUUUAUUCAUAUAAACUGAAGUCUUAAAGAUUUGUAAUUUUUUAUAGCAUGUGGUGUAACGAAAAAGCUGUGUAUGUAUUUUAGGAUUACUUACAAUACAUGUUUUUGUACCAUUUGUGGUAAUUGUUUCUUGUGUGCGAUUAUUGCAUUUUAGUUGAAUUGAAGUCUUAAAGGUUUGCAAAGGUGUGUAAGUCUUUUCAAGGUUGCUCACAUGAUUAAUUAAGUUUGCAGGUAUUGGUGUUCAUCAGUUAAUUGUAUUUGACGCUGUAUACGGCUGAAACUUCCUUAUAUUACAAGAUUCUUUGGUUGUUAUUGCAUUUCAGUCAGAUCAUUGUUUUUAUCUUAUCUGUUUUGAAGAUCACCCUAAAAAAUACUUGAAAAGUUUCUAUGCAAGUAACUUGCAAUUCCACUUGACGUAUAAAUACUAAAUACUAACUAGAAUUAUGCAUUGUGUGUACAAAGCUGUUUCAUAUUGACACAUCAGUUUCAUUUUUUUGAAAAGUACGGAGACUAGAAGAAAUUAAAAAGCAAACAAUUUUGAAUUUAAUACUUCGUUGCAAGCAUACUUACUUUUUAUACGUACCGUUGUUUUUGAAGACACUUUUAAUCCCAAAAUUGCUGUCAUUUUUCUAAACUAAAACUCUUCUCUAGCAGACAUUCACAUUAAGACUACGUACCACUCAUUGAAACUUCUAACACAAAUCCACCAUAUACAUACGAAACCUCUGUCCAAUUUGUGUUAAAUGCACACUCAUUGAAUGAUAAAUACAGAGACCGACAAAAGCAACAGGGAAACCAGCGCCAAAGAAUUUUACACUUGAUGUUUUAGAAGUUACAAGCAUACGUACCGUUUAUACGUACCGAAUUGUUUGAAAAAAUCUGCGUCUUUUGGUCACAAAAUUGCUGCCAUUUGUUGGUCAAAUCUGAUCCAUUAUCGCCAGUCCUCAUACCAAUCAAAACGUUAUCAUAAAUACACAUGCUCUUCUUCUCUGUCGAAUUUUCUCUAUCAAAUUUAUGUUUUACAAUUACAUUCAAUUCUGCAAUAAUGUGAUUGAAAGGAUCAACAGUCUAUAAUUAAAAAUGUAAGUUGUAACUAACAUUAAGUUUGAGAAAAUCAAUGUUUGACUUAGCACAAUAUCUUCUUUUAUGCCGGAGAAAUUUUGGUAUUUCAGAUGCCAACUGCCUCUUGGUGAAAAAAUCUUGAAAAAAAAAUGACAAAGAACACGCGAAUGAUAAAAAAAUCCGCUAAAUCGAGAAAAAAAUUUUUUAGUAAAAAAGAAAGAAUUAUAAAUAAACACAAACACAUAAUCGCACGCAAAACCUCUCAAUAGAAUGAAAAUAUCAUAACCCAAGGCCAAUGCUGUAGGCAAAAUCCAAUGAAAGAAACGGUUAUUAUCGACUAAAUUUUCCUUCAGCUCUUGGGUUGUGGUUUGUAAUAUAAUGAAUUGUACUAUGAAUAUUGCCAUUCAUCUCAUCUCAUAUAAACCACAAAUUAA